This 1470-nucleotide ribosomal RNA is filed under the name metagenome. Its description in RNAcentral is "bacterial SSU rRNA". It matches the Rfam family "Bacterial small subunit ribosomal RNA". The record is from RNAcentral.
AGAGUUUGAUCCUGGCUCAGGACGAACGCUUGCGGCGUGCCUAAGAAAUGCAAGUCGAACGGGAAGAGCAAUCUUCUAGUGGCGAACGGUCGCGUAACACGUAGGCAACCUGCCCAGAAGUGGGGGACAACAGCUUGAAAGAGCUGCUAAUACCGCAUGUGGCCAAUCGGUGGCAUCACUGAUUGUCUAAAGCUUUAUGCGCUUCUGGAUGGGCUUGCGGCCUAUCAGGUAGUUGGUGGGGUAAUGGCCUACCAAGCCGACGACGGGUAGCUGGUCUGAGAGGACGAUCAGCCGGAUUGGGACUGAGAUACGGCCCAGACUCCUACGGGGGGCAGCAAUUAGGAAUCUUGCGCAAUGGGGGCAACCCUGACGCAGCGACGCCGCGUGCGGGAUGAAGGCAUUCGUGUCGUAAACCGCUUUUUACGGGGAAGAAGAAUUUGACGGUACCCGUCGAAUAAGCCCCGGCUAACUACGUGCCAGCAGCCGCGGUAAUACGUAGGGGGCGAGCGUUGUCCGAAGUUACUGGGCGUAAAGCGCGCGUAGGCGGUUCAUUUAGUUCGGGGUGAAAGGUUCAACGCUCAACGUGAACAGUGCCUUGAAUACUGGUGGACUUGAGUUCGGGAGAGGGCUGGAAUUCCUGGUGUAGCGGUGAAAUGCGUAGAUAUCAGGAGGAACACCGAUGGCGAAGGCAGCUGCCUGGCCUAGAACUGACGCUGAGGUGCGAAAGCGUGGGGAGCGAACAGGAUUAGAUACCCUGGUAGUCCACGCCGUAAACGAUGAGUGCUAGGUGUUCGGGGUAUCGACCCCCCGGGUGCCGCCGCUAACGCAGUAAGCACUCCGCCUGGGGAGUACGGCCGCAAGGUUGAAACUCAAAGGAAUUGACGGGGGCCCGCACAAGCGGUGGAGCAUGUGGAUUAAUUCGUCACUAACCGAAGAACCUUACCCAGGCUUGACAUCGCGUGUAACUCUGUGAAAGCAGAGCCCCUCCGCAAGGAGGCACAAAGACAGGUGUUGCAUGGCUGUCGUCAGCUCGUGUCGUGAGAUGUUGGGUUAAGUCCCGCAACGAGCGCAACCCUCACCGUAUGUUGGCAGCGUGAAGUCGGCAACUCUUACGGAACUGCCCGUGCAAGCGGGAGGAAGGUGGGGAUGACGUCAAGUCGGCAUGGCCCUUACGCCUGGGGCUUCACACAUGCUACAAUGGGCAGCAACAGACGGCUCCGAGACCGCGAGGUUGAGGGAAUCCGAGAAAUCUGUCCUCAGUUCGGAUUGCAGGCUGCAACUCGCCUGCAUGAAGCUGGAAUCGCUAGUAACCGCAGGUCAGCUAAACUGCGGUGAAUACGUUCCCGGGCCUUGUACACACCGCCCGUCAAGUCACCUGAAUUGUCUGCACCCGAAGCCAGUGGCCGAACUCGCAAGAGACGGAGCUGUCUAAGGUGUGGGGAGUAAGGGGGACUAAGUCGUAACAAGGUA